GUGAGGAAUAUUGGGCAAUGGGCGCAAGCCUGACCCAGCAACGCCGCGUGAAGGAAGACGGUCUUCGGAUUGUAAACUUCUUUUGUCAGGGACGAAUAAUGACGGUACCUGGCGAAUAAGCCACGGCUAACUACGUGCCAGCAGCCGCGGUAAUACGUAGGUGGCAAGCGUUGUCCGGAUUUACUGGGUGUAAAGGGCGAGUAGGCGGAUUUGCAAGUCAGGUGUGAAAGCCCGGGGCUUAACCCCGGGUCUGCAUUUGAAACUGCGGAUCUUGAGUAUCGGAGAGGCAGGCGGAAUUCCCGGUGUAGCGGUGGAAUGCGUAGAUAUCGGGAGGAACACCAGUGGCGAAGGCGGCCUGCUGGACGACAACUGACGCUGAGGAGCGAAAGCGUGGGGAGCAAACAGGAUUAGAUACCCCUGUAGUCC
RNAcentral lists this ribosomal RNA (426 nucleotides) under uncultured bacterium. Its description in RNAcentral is "partial 16S ribosomal RNA". It matches the Rfam family "Bacterial small subunit ribosomal RNA", at positions 354 to 796 of the family's 1533-position model. The record is from RNAcentral.